Molecule: ribosomal RNA, 234 nt
Filed under: uncultured bacterium
Lineage: Bacteria
Description: partial 16S ribosomal RNA
Rfam family: Bacterial small subunit ribosomal RNA
Source: RNAcentral
GAUCUUGGCUCAGGAUGAACGCUAGCUACAGGCUUAACACAUGCAAGUCGAGGGGCAGCAUGGUCUUAGCUUUCUAAGGCCGAUGGCGACCGGCGCACGGGUGAGUAACGCGUAUCCAACCUGCCUUACACUCUUGGACAGCCUUCUGAAAGGGAGAUUAAUACAAGAUGUUAUCAUGAGUAAGCAUUUUCGCAUGAUUAAAGGUUUACCGGUGUAAGAUGGGGAUGCGUUCCA